This 575-nucleotide unclassified non-coding RNA is filed under the name Leishmania donovani. RNAcentral's name for it is "gene:unknown". Lineage: Eukaryota; Euglenozoa; Kinetoplastea; Trypanosomatida; Trypanosomatidae. The record is from RNAcentral.
GUGCUCACGAGACACUGCACCCAUCUUCUCUACUUCACGAAGCAGAGGAUCACCGCUGUUCGCAUAGAAACGAAGAACUUGCGCGCGCGCAAGCACAAGCGGACAGGAGGCGCACCAAGCACAGGCAAGCAUACGCUUGCUGUCGCACCGCGAAGACUCCUGCUUUAACUUCAUAGACACGCGCUUUUCAUGUGCACUGCUCAUAUGAAAAGCUCUCUGCUUUCUCUGACGAACAUUGUUCCUAGCAAGGGGCUGUCUCGUUUCUUCUCACAUACGUGGCGCUCUAACCUCCUCUUUUGUGACUGCCGCGCAGGCCGCUGCGAGGAAGGCGUGUGCGCGCCUGUGCAUGUGUUUGUGCGCAUCGAGCUUGAUGCCGUAGUUCCUCAGAGGCGAUAUAGUGGACUCCUCUUCCCUCAACCGAGUUGGUUUGCUCUUCGCCUUUAGCGUUGGCGUUGAAAAGGCAAGCGCGCUCUUGUCACGAAUUUACGCGAAGCAAGUGCCGGUAUAUCAACAUCUCUUUUCUCUCGCUCUCCUGUUUCAUCUUCAUCGACGGGCUCCUUGACUUGCUUGCUCAG